UCCUCCAGCUAAAAUAAAUGCACUUGUAAGGAGAAAUUAACUGCAUGCACACACACCUGGAGUAGCCCCUCCUAUGUCCUAACCAAAGCCUGGGUAUUUCCUUGCAGGGCUACUGCUCAGAAAAUAUCUGCAUAUCAAGACUGGUGAAUUGCACUCUCCUGUUCCCCUCAACCAGCCACCUGCCUGGUUGCUUCUCACUACACAGGCUCCUGUCAUUAAAUGACCCACACACACACAAUUAUUGGAAGGUUUCUGUCAUCCCCUGAAAAGUUUGGCUCACAGAGGUUCUCAGUCUCUCUCUAAGAACAGGAAAAGCAGCCAGCCAGGUUCCUACUAAUCCGCUCCCUGGAGGAGAUUAACACUGCAGGGCGUUCAACCCCUGUUGUGCCAACAGCUGUGCCUGGUUAGGGGCCGUUACCAUGCAGUGCUAGCCCCCAGUCCCAACAAGGGGCACAGGGAAGAAGUGAAUGUGCCACUGCAGUGACAAAGGAGAUCAGCUAACACAAAAUGAACAGAGAAGAGGCACAGAUCAUAGAGUCAAACAAGGGACCCUUGGAUAAUGCAACCAGUUGAUUCCACAUGGACAGAUGAGGCCUCGGUCAAGUCGUAUGGCUCCAUCUUGCCUCAGUUUCCCCAUCUCUCCAGUGCAGGACUGAGGCAUCUGGAAGGGCAGCAGUGUAUGGAGGAUGCUUGCCUUGCCACAGCCUGUGUGGCAUCUAUUUUAUGGAGCAGCCGGUUUCAUGCGGCAGGGCUGCCACCCUAGUGUUGAACUCAUUGUAACCCCUGAGAAAAUGGCCAGGACACUCCAAAGGAGGGGGCAUUCAUUAUCUGUGCACAUGGACAAGGUGAGACAAGCCAUCAGCUACAACAGUACAAAUUCACACAGCCAGAUUUUUCAGCUAUUCUCUAUUGGAGUCUCAACAUUUACAUUCAAACUCAGGACAGCAUCUGGUUUUCUGCACCCUAAUAGCCAGCCCACCCCACCCAAUAUGGGCUGGGGGGAUCAGCAGACAGACUGAAAAAUGAGGAGGAGGAGAAGAUGUGAAUUUCCUUGAUGGAGUGUUAAUGUGGAAGUCUAAUUAAAGCUCACAGACAUAUCAA
Long non-coding RNA from Mauremys reevesii (Reeves's turtle), 1101 nucleotides. RefSeq lists it as uncharacterized. NCBI's taxonomy places the organism in Eukaryota, Metazoa, Chordata, Testudines, Geoemydidae. The transcript is spliced from 3 exons. The record is from RefSeq and is a predicted model, not a curated record.